UCCGGGUUGGACCCGGCGGUCCCGCCAGACAUGGUAACUGGCAGCGAGGGUUGCGCUCGUUGCGGGACUUAACCCAACACCUCACGACACGAGCUGACGACAACCAUGCACCACCUGUGUAGAGCCCCGAAGGACACCGUAUCUCUACGGCUUUUCUCUACAUGUCAAGCCCAGGUAAGGUUCUUCGCGUUGCCUCGAAUUAAGCCACAUGCUCCGCCGCUUGUGCGGGCCCCCGUCAAUUCCUUUGAGUUUCACCCUUGCGGGCGUACUCCCCAGGUGGAUAACUUAACGCUUUCGCUAAGACGCUGGCCGUGUAUCGCCAACAUCGAGUUAUCAUCGUUUACGGCGUGGACUAC
Molecule: unclassified non-coding RNA, 356 nt
Filed under: uncultured bacterium
Lineage: Bacteria
Description: contains 16S-23S intergenic spacer region
Source: RNAcentral